GCGGUAGUAGAGUCUGGCCUAGUAUCUAGGACUGUCAAUCCUAGGGCCCGGGUCCAAAUCCCGGCCGGGGCGCCA
Molecule: transfer RNA, 75 nt
Filed under: Candidatus Helarchaeota archaeon
Lineage: Archaea; Promethearchaeati; Candidatus Helarchaeota
Description: tRNA-Asp
Rfam family: tRNA
About the family: Transfer RNA (tRNA) molecules are approximately 80 nucleotides in length. Their secondary structure includes four short double-helical elements and three loops (D, anti-codon, and T loops).
Source: RNAcentral